This 540-nucleotide ribosomal RNA is filed under the name Triticum aestivum (bread wheat). RNAcentral describes it as "partial small subunit ribosomal RNA". Lineage: Eukaryota; Viridiplantae; Streptophyta; Magnoliopsida; Poales; Poaceae. The record is from RNAcentral.
AUGCUUCAGAUACCAUCUAUUAAGAUGCGUACCCUACUGAUUAGGUAUAUGGUUGAGAAUUUUGAGGCCAGCACGGCCAGAUUCAUUAUACAAGAGCAUGUUGGGGAGGUGUCUCUCGGAGCCGUGGACGUCGAGUGCAUCUUCAACUUGGAGAACCAAGGACUGUCCGCUUCAGACAUUCUCAUCGAAGAAGGUGAGGAUAUCAAGGACCGGGUGCCACCACAAUUUCUCAGUAAGACAACAGGUAACAUAGUCAUUGAUGAUCUCAUUCCGGACAUCAUUAAAAAUAAAUCCACCAACGACAAUUUCCUUCGGAAAGUAGUCCUUGUCCUGCUAGGAAUAGUUCUUGCUCCCAUGUCGAGCAAGAUUGUCCCAAAACAGUAUUACGCGUUGGUCGAUGAUGUGAAACAUAUUUCCAAGAUCAACUAGAAUGCGUUCACCCUUCGUGUUCUCCUCGAUUGCCUUCGCAUUGUCAAGAAAGGCAAACACCUCCGCCAAUGGCCGAAAGGCAAUUUAGCUCUCCUGCAGGUACACAUAUGA